Long non-coding RNA from Rhipicephalus sanguineus (brown dog tick), 745 nucleotides. RefSeq lists it as uncharacterized. The record is from RefSeq and is a predicted model, not a curated record. The transcript is spliced from 4 exons. NCBI's taxonomy places the organism in Eukaryota, Metazoa, Arthropoda, Arachnida, Ixodida, Ixodidae.
ACAGCCUCGUGGCUGCUUUACAAACAAUGCAAUCCUAUGCUAGGAAAAGUGCAUAAAAAGACAAGCUGUGGAUAAGCGCAGGCCUAAGGUUGCAUUCUCCUGACUCUUAAGACGCUGUUUUGUUAACGCCACUCUGGAUGACUAAUGGUGGAGCCACUAUACAGAACCUUUAUUUUUGUUUCCAUAAUACGCCCCCAUGGGUUACAUCAUCAUGUUCCGAAGGUGUGCACGCAGUCGCCGCUUACUGCCCCAUGCCACAAGUCGACGGAGGCCUGGUAUUAUAGCAAUAAUGCAGGGCGUUGUAAAUCGGUGCCACCUCGCUCUUGCGUUGACGGAGGCAACAGUUUCCCUACUCUGCGUGAAUGCAAAAAAAGGUGUCAACCUAUCAAUAAUACGAAGCCUGAAAUAUGUCUAAUGGUGGCCAUACACACUUGUGGAGAGAGGUAUCCUGCUUGGAGUUUUGAUAUUACUGACAGGCGUUGCAAGAUGCUGGAGCACACUGCUUGCAGAGGAAAGAUAAUGGUCUUCGCAUCAGAGACAGUUUGUCAGGCUCUCUGUUUACCUCAUCAAAUGCCCAAAGCGAUUUGCAGUUGGAAAGCAUAUCCUCAAAAGUGCUCAACAUUUCACAACAACAGAUGGUUUUUUGCGUUACAAAAAGGCGUCUGCACUACUCUUCCUGGCAAUCUCUGCGUAAGAAGUGGGAACAGCUUCCCGACGUAUGCAGCUUGCAUGAAGCGGUGCAGUU